This 147-nucleotide ribosomal RNA is filed under the name Amazona collaria (yellow-billed parrot). RNAcentral's name for it is "5.8S ribosomal RNA (ENSACOG00000014216.1)". It matches the Rfam family "5.8S ribosomal RNA". From Rfam's summary of the family: 5.8S ribosomal RNA (5.8S rRNA) is a component of the large subunit of the eukaryotic ribosome. Lineage: Eukaryota; Metazoa; Chordata; Aves; Psittaciformes; Psittacidae. The record is from Rfam by way of RNAcentral.
UACUCUUAGCGGAUCACUCGGCUCGUGAGUCGAUGAAGAAUGCAGCUAGCUGCUAGAAUUAAUAUGAAUUGCAGGACACAUCGAUCGAUACUUUGAACGCACUUGCGGCCCCAGGUUCCUCCCAGGGCUACGCCUGUCUGAGCGUCG